Molecule: ribosomal RNA, 253 nt
Filed under: uncultured bacterium
Lineage: Bacteria
Description: partial 16S ribosomal RNA
Rfam family: Bacterial small subunit ribosomal RNA
Source: RNAcentral
UACGUAGGGGGCUAGCGUUGUCCGGAAUCAUUGGGCGUAAAGAGCGUGUAGGCGGCCCGGUAAGUCCGCUGUAAAAGUCAAAGGCUCAACCUUUGAAUGUCAGUGGAUACUGCCGGGCUAGAGUCCGGAAGAGGCGAGUGGAACUCCUGGUGUAGCGGUGGAAUGCGCAGAUAUCAGGAGGAACACCAAUGGCGAAGGCAGCUCGCUGGGACGUGACUGACGCUGAGACGCGAAAGCGUGGGGAGCAAACAGG